Non-coding RNA from Mycena latifolia, 85 nucleotides. Lineage: Eukaryota; Fungi; Basidiomycota; Agaricomycetes; Agaricales; Mycenaceae. The record is from the annotation of a GenBank genome assembly.
GACACUAUAGAUCAACGGUUAGAUCGUCCGCCAUUGAAUAAAUGUUCAGGGGCGGGAGGCCGGGGAUCGAACCCCCGUAGUGGUU